GGACAGUGUUCUCUUUGCACACAGCACCUGGUUAAAUGUGUCUACAGAGACACCUCAUGCAGGAAUCUUCAAGACUUGACCACCACAGUUCUUGGUACCUGGUGUCACUCUGAUGAAGGCCCCAGGACCAAACAUAGGAUGAUAUAGAGAAACUGCCAGAAGGAUUGAAAUGUAGCUUGUACCCCACCAAACUGAGCAGUUGCCAGGGAAGAUAGAAUUGAAUCUGAAGGGUUUAAAGAAACUCACCAGAAAAUUUAAAGACAAGCAGCAGGAGCAAAUGUGUUUAUUCUGGAAAAUUAAAAUACUG
RNAcentral lists this long non-coding RNA (307 nucleotides) under Cricetulus griseus (Chinese hamster). RNAcentral's name for it is "lncRNA (ENSCGRG00015032234.1)". Lineage: Eukaryota; Metazoa; Chordata; Mammalia; Rodentia; Cricetidae. The record is from RNAcentral.